GUUUGCAAAUGACUCGGCACUCCCGAGUGGUAACCAACCUUAAGGUGGACUUCCACAAAAGGAACCAAAGAAACCUGCAGGCUCUGUCUAUUCACCCAGGGAUCGCUUUCCUGGUGGUGAAAUGAAACCAGCUUCUUUGUGGAACGGAGCGAUCACUGGCUGCCAGUAACACAACCCUCUACAAUGUGUAGAGGGGGAAAUGAAGGCUAGCUCAUCCGAAGGAAACUACAGGGGAAUUUUAGAUCAGCAGAAUGCAAUUAUCCAAGUUGGAAUUGUUCCAGGACACCAAAAGCGAACUUUAAAGGUGUUUCAGGGCGUUUUCGGUGGCAAAGAUGGCCCCCUUCCUGAUAAACGCCAAGUUCAGCACCUCCAAGUAACUGUGCGAGCAUAUGCAUUUGCCCUUAAAAAUUAGCAGAGGAUGUCACGGAGGUUUUAAUAGCCACAAAUGUCUCUUAGCAUUUCCCUCCUUUAGGAAGACAAUAUCAGACUGCUGGCAUUGAUUUCUUAAAAUUAUACUGGCAAAAAGAUAAACAAAGCUCAAGAUAUAGAAAUACAUUUUACACUGAAAAAAAAAAGAAAAAAAAACAAAAAAACAAAAAAACACACUGAAACCAAAUCCUCAUAUUUCUUGGCUCACGGUAGCAGGCUGACUAGUUACCCAAAAUGAGCUUGUUGCAAAAUCACUCUGUUCUCACCACAGGCACAAUUUACCAACUGGGUGCAACAGACACCGGGCUGGCUCCUGAACUUCUCUCCUCCAAUUAAGCUACACAACCUGUUACCAUUUUGCCAAUGGACUCUAUUUACUUAGGUUCUGCUUAACUUGCCAAGUGCUCACUCUGUGGAAUUCCCAGCAAAGAGAAAGGAACAAUUGGGGGAAAUUUUUGUUAACAUCCUUUCUUUUAACUUUCCCUAGCAGAGGGGAAUGCAUCAACGUGGAGCAGAUGUGCUGAGACCAAAUGCUCUCUUCCUCAUGAUUACAGUUGGUUAUACCUGUGGAUAGGCAAGCUAAUUCCACAGCAAAUGUGCAAGAGAGGGUAGUACUAACGUACAAUGUGUGGUCCUGGAGGCUUUGUUCCCACGUAAUAGGGUGCUUCGUUUCACGAGACCUGGCACGUUGAGAAGAAAACUGAUGUGAAACAGCCCCGUGCAGUUGGAAUCAGGGGCUACGUCUGAGCGGUUUAGAGAGUGCCCGAGUUCUCAGCGAUGUUGACACAAAUAUCACGGAAUUUAUUAUUUGGAGUUGGAAAAUAAUGAUUCUCUCUACUUAAUGUGCUCAGCGACUCUGCACCCAAUUGUUUUCUGCCAUUUGAGAAUGCCCGAGGAUGUCAUUAAAACUACACGUAUCAAUAUUAAACCUUUACAAGUAGGUGACUAAAUGAGCUGUUAUUAUCUUUGUUUCUGACAAUAGUGUACCUUUUUACUUCAUUUAUCAGUAACUAGGUGUAGUCGAUUGCACUCUGGUAUUGAUCCCAAUAUCUAUACCUGUCACAGACUACCUUUCCUCAAGGUCAUCGUAAGGUCGAGUUAUGAUCAAUAUGAAUUGACUGUCUGCAAAUAAAUUUAUGUAGCUGACAUU
This is a long non-coding RNA of Lutra lutra (Eurasian river otter), 1579 nucleotides long. RefSeq lists it as uncharacterized. NCBI's taxonomy places the organism in Eukaryota, Metazoa, Chordata, Mammalia, Carnivora, Mustelidae. The record is from RefSeq and is a predicted model, not a curated record. The transcript has 4 exons.